AGAGCGGCGGACGGGUGAGUAAUGCCUAGGAAUCUGCCUGGUAGUGGGGGAUAACGCUCGGAAACGGACGCUAAUACCGCAUACGUCCUACGGGAGAAAGCAGGGGACCUUCGGGCCUUGCGCUAUCAGAUGAGCCUAGGUCGGAUUAGCUAGUUGGUGAGGUAAUGGCUCACCAAGGCGACGAUCCGUAACUGGUCUGAGAGGAUGAUCAGUCACACUGGAACUGAGACACGGUCCAGACUCCUACGGGAGGCAGCAGUGGGGAAUAUUGGACAAUGGGCGAAAGCCUGAUCCAGCCAUGCCGCGUGUGUGAAGAAGGUCUUCGGAUUGUAAAGCACUUUAAGUUGGGAGGAAGGGCAGUAAAUUAAUACUUUGCUGUUUUGACGUUACCGACAGAAUAAGC
This 403-nucleotide ribosomal RNA is filed under the name uncultured bacterium. RNAcentral describes it as "bacterial SSU rRNA". It matches the Rfam family "Bacterial small subunit ribosomal RNA", at positions 92 to 491 of the family's 1533-position model. The record is from RNAcentral.